UACAGAGGCCUCGAGCGUUAAUCGGAGUCACUGGGCUUAAAGGGUGCGUAGGCUGGUCCGCAAGUGCCUUGUGAAAUCCCACGGCUCAACCGUGGAAUGGCUCGGCAGACUGCGGGUCUUGAGGUCGGUAGGGGUCGCUGGAACUCUAGGUGGAGCGGUGAAAUGCGUAGAUAUCUAGAGGAACGCCAAAGGUGAAGACAAGCGACUGGGCCGAUUCUGACGCUGAGGCACGAAAGCGUGGGGAGCGAACGGG
This 253-nucleotide ribosomal RNA is filed under the name uncultured bacterium. Its description in RNAcentral is "partial 16S ribosomal RNA". It matches the Rfam family "Bacterial small subunit ribosomal RNA", at positions 524 to 776 of the family's 1533-position model. The record is from RNAcentral.